This 429-nucleotide ribosomal RNA is filed under the name uncultured bacterium. Its description in RNAcentral is "bacterial SSU rRNA". It matches the Rfam family "Bacterial small subunit ribosomal RNA", at positions 355 to 776 of the family's 1533-position model. The record is from RNAcentral.
UGGGGAAUAUUGCACAAUGGGCGAAAGCCUGAUGCAGCCAUGCCGCGUGUGUGAAGAAGGCCCUAGGGUUGUAAAGCACUUUCAAUUGGGAGAAAAAGCUAAUGGUUAAUACCCAUUAGCCUUGAUGUUACCUUUAGAAGAAGCACCGGCUAACUCCGUGCCAGCAGCCGCGGUAAUACGGAGGGUGCAAGCGUUAAUCGGAAUUACUGGGCGUAAAGCGCGCGUAGGCGGUUUGGUCAGUUGGAUGUGAAAGCCCCGGGCUUAACCUGGGAACUGCAUUCAAUACUGCCAGACUAGAGUACGAGAGAGGGGGGUAGAAUUUCUAGUGUAGCGGUGAAAUGCGUAGAUAUUAGAAGGAAUACCAGUGGCGAAGGCGGCCCCCUGGCUCGAUACUGACGCUGAGGUGCGAAAGCGUGGGGAGCAAACAGG